Molecule: non-coding RNA, 88 nt
Organism: Serratia sp. M24T3
Lineage: Bacteria; Pseudomonadati; Pseudomonadota; Gammaproteobacteria; Enterobacterales; Yersiniaceae
Source: Rfam
AACCUACUGUUGGUUAAUGCUACAUCAACAAGGUAAAGUUAAUCCUUUGGAGUAGAACAUGAGCGAUAAAAUUAUUCACCUUUCUGAU